GGGCCAGUAACUCAGUGGUAGAGUAUCUGCCUUUUAAGCAGAGAGUCGAUGGUUCGAAUCCAUCCUGGCUCACCA
RNAcentral lists this transfer RNA (75 nucleotides) under Candidatus Cloacimonadota bacterium. Its description in RNAcentral is "Candidatus Cloacimonetes bacterium tRNA-Lys". It matches the Rfam family "tRNA". From Rfam's summary of the family: Transfer RNA (tRNA) molecules are approximately 80 nucleotides in length. Their secondary structure includes four short double-helical elements and three loops (D, anti-codon, and T loops). The record is from RNAcentral. Lineage: Bacteria; Pseudomonadati; Candidatus Cloacimonadota.